GAGACUAUGGUGUAGUAGCAGCACAGCAGUUUGUGGCACUGCUAGCACGGGUGCAAAUCCCGUUAGUCUCC
RNAcentral lists this transfer RNA (71 nucleotides) under Parcubacteria group bacterium. RNAcentral describes it as "tRNA-His". It matches the Rfam family "tRNA". From Rfam's summary of the family: Transfer RNA (tRNA) molecules are approximately 80 nucleotides in length. Their secondary structure includes four short double-helical elements and three loops (D, anti-codon, and T loops). Further hydrogen bonds mediate the characteristic L-shaped molecular structure. tRNAs have two regions of fundamental functional importance: the anti-codon, which is responsible for specific mRNA codon recognition, and the 3' end, to which the tRNAs corresponding amino acid is attached (by aminoacyl-tRNA synthetases). tRNAs cope with the degeneracy of the genetic code in two manners: having more than one tRNA (with a specific anti-codon) for a particular amino acid; and 'wobble' base-pairing, i.e. permitting non-standard base-pairing at the 3rd anti-codon position. The record is from RNAcentral.